AGCUGACUGGGCUAUUGAUUAGUUCGUUUUUUGCUGG
Molecule: non-coding RNA, 37 nt
Filed under: Rhodosorus marinus
Lineage: Eukaryota; Rhodophyta; Stylonematophyceae; Stylonematales; Stylonemataceae
Source: RNAcentral